UGACAUUUGCUGUAUAUGUGGAAUUGCAAAGCCUGUUCAGUUGUUGUACCAAGUAGGUUAAAACUUCUGCAGCAUUAUAGGUUAAAACACAGGCAUUUCGGACAUAAUAGUCGUUUUCCAUGUGUUUAUUCUAACUGCCCCUGCACAUUUAGAACUUGGAAUGCACUUAGAAUUCAUUUAAAUAGAUUUCAUGUGUCUGACACUAGGCAGAAACAGUUUCAAAAUAUAAUAUUUAGUUGCCAUAUAUGUCAUUGUGGAGGACUUAACUUGGAGAAAGAUUACUGGGCUCAUAUUAAUGCACAUCUUAAGAAAAAUGAAUUGAUAACUUGUAUGUUUUCAGGUUGUAACUUUAAAACAAAUAUCUGUGGUACCUUUAAAUCUCAUAAGAACAGAAAGCAUCAUUCUUUUUUACUAAAUGAUUUUAAACCUGGGAUAGUAACAACUACAACAGUAGCUUCACAAGAGUCAGAUUUAGCAGAUGAUGUUGAGGUAGAGGCAUAUUAUGAAAUUGAAUCUGAUGUCCAUUCUUCAAAUAACCUUCCAAAUGAAAUCAAACACAAUUUUGCAGCAGCAUUGUUAAAGCUUGAACAUCUGUCCCAUGUACCCAGUGCAGCCAUUGAUGAAUUUUUACAAGAGCUUUACAUCCUAAAUAGCACUUUGUCAAUUCCCCUUACUACAGAUGUUUUAGUAGAUGCUUUUCAGAAGCACAAUCUUGAAGUUGACAAAUCUAUCCUGAAAGAAAUAGCAACUACACUGUCCACAGAUAACCCUAUACACAAAGCUAUACAAAAAGGUGGCUGUCUUGGUUCUGCUUAUCAACGUAGGCAGUAUUAUAAGACUAACUUCAAUGUAGUUGAUCCUGUUGAAUAUAUUCUGGAUGCUAAAAACAAAAAGACUUUUCAGUACAUUCCAAUUCUUGAUUCCCUUCAAGUGCUUUUAAAUCGGAAAGAUAUUUUAGAAAAGAUAUCUCCGGAUCAGAAAACACAAGAAACUGAGGAAGACAGUUUGUAUCAGUCUUUCAGAGAUGGUCUUCAUUUUAAACAAAAUAGGUUUUUGUCAGGUCAAGAGCUAAGACUUUUUGUGGGUUUAUAUGUUGAUGAUUUUGAGCUCUGCAACCCCCUGGGGACAUCCCGCAAAAAACACAAGCUUUGUGCAGUCUAUUGGGUGCUAAGGAACCUACCUCCUGGGUCCAAUUCAUCAUUGUCCUCUAUAUAUUUGGCCCUACUAUGUAGAACUGAUGAUGUCAAAACAUAUGGCUAUAACAGAGUGCUUGAACCACUCCUAAAAGACCUCAAAUACUUGGAAGAACAUGGAAUUUUCAUACCACUGUUAGGAGAAACACUGAAGGGAACUGUUGUUACUGUUUCUGCAGACAAUUUAGGAGCUCAUGGUUUAGCUGGCUUUAAUGAAAGUUUUUCAGGGCAUUAUAUUUGUCGAUUUUGUACUGCAAGCAAACAAGACAUUCAGUCAAUAGAGGUAAGAACAGGUGCUCUCAGCCUCAGAACAAAAGAGCUCCACAGUGCUCAUGUGAGGCUGGCUGAGGAUAGUGAUACUAACUAUUUUGGAGUGAAAAAAGCUUGUCCUCUAACUGAAGCUCUUUCUCAUUUUCAUGUCCUCACUGGCUACCCACCAGACAUUGCCCAUGAUAUAUUUGAGGGUAUUGUACCUGUUGAGCUUGCACAUUGUCUCACAUUGAUAAUAUCAAAAAAGUACAUUACCUUGGAUAAAAUCAACAAAUCAAUUUUGGAUUUUCCAUACAAAUAUAACGAUAAGACUAAUAAGCCUCAUGUUUUGCCUCAACCUUUAUCAAGCAGGAAAACAAUAGGAGGCAAUGCUCAUGAGAACUGGAGCUUGUUACGCUUGCUUCCAUUUUUAAUUGGUCCUCAGAUUCCUGAAAAUGAGCCUGCAUGGCAGAUUCUCUUAGACUUGAAAGAGAUUGUAGAACUUGUUGUUGCCCCAGUUCACAAUGAUGAGUCCAUUGCUUACUUAGAAAGUAAAAUAUCUGAGCACAGACAAAGAUACCAGGACUUAUUUCCUGAACAGAGAUUGCUGCCCAAACACCACUACUUGGAGCACUACCCUCAAAUAAUCAGGUUGUUUGGUCCUCUUGUGGGGUAUUGGACAAUCAGGUUUGAAGCAAAGCACAGCUUCUUUAAACAGGCAAUUAGACAUACCAGUUGCUUCAAAAAUGUCCCAUUCUCCCUGGCCACAAAACAUCAGCUAAUGAUUGGGUACCAGCUAACUUCACCAAGUCUUGAGAAGUCAGAGCUGGAAAUGUCAAGUGGAUCUGCAGUCCCAGUGGAUAUUUUGAAGGAAGAGAUAGCUAUAGUUGUGAGGCAGAGAUAUCCUAAUCUCUCUGAAAUUCAUAUCACAAAAAAUGUUUGGAGUAAGGGUAUCAACUACAGGACAGGAAUGAUCGUUGUUCAUGGAUCUGAAGGUGGAUUACCUGAAUUUGGUCAAAUUGAGCAAAUUUGUGUUUUGCAUCAAAAGUUGUUCUUUAUUGUGAAACAACUCUGUGGAUGGUAUAGAGAGCACUAUAGAGCUUACGAGCUAAGUCAGUCCCCAACAAAGGCAGUUAGCCUUGUAGAAGUCAGUGAAUUAACUGAUGAAUACCCCUUGGCUGACUAUUUGAUUGGACAUGUGCAGAUGGUAACGUUAAAGAGAUUUGUCUGCUGCAAAGGAUGACAUUGAUGCAGCUCGUGAACUUGCCAUCAGAGGACUGUGUAUCUAUCUUAAUGAGGACCCUAAAGAUCUCAUUCAGGAGUAUGUG
Long non-coding RNA from Carassius auratus (goldfish), 2770 nucleotides. Lineage: Eukaryota; Metazoa; Chordata; Actinopteri; Cypriniformes; Cyprinidae. The record is from Ensembl.